UGGAACAUGUUCUUUGAAAUAUUUCUCAGAU
Molecule: non-coding RNA, 31 nt
Filed under: Rattus norvegicus (Norway rat)
Lineage: Eukaryota; Metazoa; Chordata; Mammalia; Rodentia; Muridae
Source: RNAcentral